AAGUCGUAACAAGGUUUCCGUAGGUGAACCUGCGGAAGGAUCAUUAACACGUACGAAAGUACACACCAACACUGAGCACCUUUUGGUACAACCUCUCCCUUUCGAGUGGGCUGUUAGUAUGAAUGCUGCUAUAGGACAUUCAUCUAGCAGGCUCGUGUCUUUACACGAACCCACUUUGAAGGUUACCUUUUUCCUUAGCACAUUUUACCAUUAUCACCUAUAAUUACAUUUGUCUAAUGUAGCGGCACUGGAGAAAUCCGUGCAGCUUGAUUAUCUAAACUAAGCACAACUCUUAGCAAUGGAUAUCUAGGUUCUC
RNAcentral lists this unclassified non-coding RNA (316 nucleotides) under fungal sp. RNAcentral describes it as "partial internal transcribed spacer region". The stretch from base 1 to 46 matches the Rfam family "Eukaryotic small subunit ribosomal RNA", at positions 1786 to 1831 of the family's 1831-position model. Lineage: Eukaryota; Fungi. The record is from RNAcentral.